This 1208-nucleotide long non-coding RNA is filed under the name Eptatretus burgeri (inshore hagfish). Its description in RNAcentral is "lncRNA (ENSEBUG00000017107.1)". The record is from RNAcentral. Lineage: Eukaryota; Metazoa; Chordata; Myxini; Myxiniformes; Myxinidae.
GGGGGGGGGGGGGGGGGGGGGGGGGGGGGGGGGGGGGGGGGGGGGGGGGGGUCAUUGGUCACGUGGUUCAGCAGCCUUUUUUUUUUAACAAACAAAAAAACCUAAAUUCUUCUCCGAAACAGAUCGAGGCGAAUCUUUACAUGUAUGAUCGCCUAUCCAUGAGGAACAAAAAGUUAUCCACCGAUGAUAGGUUACAUGGUUCGGCAGCUAUGAAUUUUUGAACAAUGAACCUUUUUACAUAAACCUCCUCCAGAAUGGCUUGACAGAUCGAAGGGAAACUUCACCCACAUGUUCCCCAAGCUUGGGGAUACCAGAGUGUUCACAAAUAAUUAAUAAGUCACAUGAUCUGGCAGCCAUAUUGGAAUGAAGCAAAACCUUGAAAAAAAUUAUUUCUCUUGAACCACUUCAUCAAACGACGUGAAACUACACUAUUAUGAUCCAGUAGUCGUGGGGAAGAUACAUGUUUUAAAUUUCACCCUGAUUGGACACAUGGUCUGGCAGCAACAUAUAUUUAAUGUUUUGAAUCUCAUUUCAGGGAUUUAAAUCAAACUUGGUACAAGUAUGUACAACUAGCAAACUUGGUACAAGUAUGUACAACUUCACUUUGAUGAAGGGAAUGUUAAAGGGGGGAGAGAAAGGGGGAGGGAGGGAUAGUGGACGGAGGUGAGGAGACAAGGACGGAGGACGGAGGUGAGGGCACGAGGACGGAGGACGGAGGUGAGGGCACGAGGACGGAGGACGGAGGUGAAGGCACGAAGACAGAGGUGAGGGCACGAGAAUGGAGGACGGAGGUGAGGGCACGAGGACGGAGGUGAGGACACGAGGAUGGAGGACGGAGGUGAGGGCACGAGGACGGAGGUGAGGACACGAGGACGGAGGACGGAGGACGGAGGACGGAGGACGGAGGACGGAGGACGGAGGACGGAGGACGGAGGACGGGGGACGAGGGGACAGAGGAUGGAGGGACGAGAAGACGAGGGUACGAGGGUACGAGGACGAGGGGACGAGGAGGGAGGACAGGGGACGGAGGACGGGGGACGGAGGACAGAGGACGGAGGGGAGGGAACGAGGAUGGAGGAGAGGGAACGAGGACGGAGGGGAGGAGAGGGCAUAAGGACGGAGGAGGGAGGGGAGGGCAUGGAACGCGGACGGAGGGGAGGGCAGGAGGACGGAGGACGGAGGAGAGGGCAUAAGGACGGAGGAGGGAG